UGCUCAGCAAAACCCCCAAGACCAUGGCAAAGAAUAGGAACCAUAAAACCAUUUACAGACUGAAGAUAAAGCUUUCCUCUUAUUAUCUCAAUUUUGUUAUUAUUAUGCACAGGCCUGUUCGCAGCCUAUGACAGCCCUGUGUGGUUUUCUGAUUCCAGAGACAUUCUCACUUCAGUCUCCGGACUGUGUGUAGCAUUAUAAGGUUUAAAAGCUGGUUGAUGGGAGACCGGAGACUUAGCAGCCACUGGAGCAGCACGGCCAAGCCUUGUGGGGUACGCCUGAGAAGGGAAGCCCGCAAACAGGUGCAUGUCUUCAGACAAAAUCUUCUCCAGGAGGCUGAGGAAUUCCUCUACAGAUUCUUACCUCAGAAAAUCAUAUACCUGAAUCAGCUCUUGCAGGAGGACUCCCUCAACGUGACUGACAUGACUUCUCUCCGGGCCCCGCUGGACAUCUGGAUAUCCCCAUCCCAGACCCUCCACCCAAGGAUGAUGAGAUGGAAACGGAUAAGCAAGAGAAGAAAGAAGUCCCUAAGUGCGGCUUUCUCCCUGGGAAGGAGAAGGUCCUGGCCUUGCUUGCCCUGGUUAAGACAGAAGUCGGGACUCUCAAAGAAAAAUGCCUUCUGGUGAUCACACGGACCCAGCCCCUCAUCCCCAAAAUUGAGGGUGGAAAUGACGUCGGGGCGGCCAUCCAGGAAACGGUGGAGAGGGUAAAUGCAGUCAAGACCAAAGUGGAAGCCUGCCAGACAACCAUUUCCAAGUACUUCUCAGAAAACGUGGGGAUGCUGGGGCCAAGGCCUCUAAGGAGACCCACGUAAUGGAUUAUCGGGCCCUGGUGCACGAGCGAGACAAGGCAGCCUAUGGAGAGCUCAGGGCCUUCUAUGCUGAGCUUUACCAUAUUAUAAGCAGCAACCUGGAGAAAACUGUCAACCCAAAGGGUGAAGAGAAGCCAUCUAUGUACUGAGCCCAGGGUUAGAAGGGAAAUAAAUGACCUAUACUUUGUGUGGAUAAAAAAAAAAAAGCUGGUUGAUGGGGACUUCCCUGGUGGCUCAGUGGUUAAGAAUCCACCUGCCAAUACAGGGGACACAGGUUCGAUCCCUGGUCUAGGAAGAGCUCACA
Molecule: non-coding RNA, 1115 nt
Organism: Kogia breviceps (pygmy sperm whale)
Lineage: Eukaryota; Metazoa; Chordata; Mammalia; Artiodactyla; Physeteridae
Source: RefSeq, a predicted model, not a curated record